RNAcentral lists this unclassified non-coding RNA (329 nucleotides) under soil metagenome. RNAcentral describes it as "partial contains 5.8S ribosomal RNA, internal transcribed spacer 2, and large subunit ribosomal RNA". The stretch from base 1 to 120 matches the Rfam family "5.8S ribosomal RNA", at positions 35 to 154 of the family's 154-position model. The record is from RNAcentral.
GAUGAAGAACGUAGCGAAAUGCGAUAAGUAAUGUGAAUUGCAGAAUUCAGUGAAUCAUCGAAUCUUUGAACGCACAUUGCGCCCCUUGGUAUUCCGAGGGGCAUGCCUGUCCGAGCGUCAUUACAACCCUCAAGCUCAGCUUGGUGUUGGGCCCCGCCGCCCCGGCGGGCCCUAAAGUCAGUGGCGGUGCCGUCCGGCUCCGAGCGUAGUAAUUCUUCUCGCUCUGGAGGUCCGGUCGUGUGCUCGCCAGCAACCCCCAAUUUUUUUCAGGUUGACCUCGGAUCAGGUAGGGAUACCCGCUGAACUUAAGCAUAUCAAUAAGCGGAGGA